AUGGGAUUCUAUAGUCUGCAUGAAUCCCUUCAUCAUGAGGUCACCAGACUCCUCUCCAGAUUCUUCUGGGCUGGAGAGAACAAUAAACAGAAGUACCACAUGGUAAAGUGGUCUGAGAUCUGUAAGCCUAAGGACCAAGGAGGCCUUGGGGUUAUUUCGUCCAAGCGGAUGAAUAUUGCCCUCCUCGCCAAAUGGCUUUGGCGGAUUCAGACCGAUGAGGGCGGCUUGUGGCUUGAGAUUAUCCGCGCGAAGUACCUUCGCGGGCAGCCACUAGCAUUCGCUCCUAGAACCGGAGGGUCCCAAUUCUGGCAAUCGGUGAUCUGUCUAUUGCCAGUAUUGCGCAUUGGGACCUCCAUUAAAGUAGGCACCGGAUCCGGCACCCUGUUCUGGCUAGAUCGAUGGGCAAGGACCCGUCCCUUUGCGGAACGCUUUCAUGCGCUAUUCGUGAUCUGCGUCCACCCACAGCUCUCUGUGGCCGUGGCCUUAGCUGACAUGGGCGCUAUUGCCUUCCGCCAUACCUUCGGGGCGGUGGAACUCGAGCAAUGGGAUUAA
Molecule: ribosomal RNA, 552 nt
Filed under: Triticum aestivum (bread wheat)
Lineage: Eukaryota; Viridiplantae; Streptophyta; Magnoliopsida; Poales; Poaceae
Description: partial small subunit ribosomal RNA
Source: RNAcentral